Molecule: ribosomal RNA, 252 nt
Filed under: uncultured bacterium
Lineage: Bacteria
Description: partial 16S ribosomal RNA
Rfam family: Bacterial small subunit ribosomal RNA
Source: RNAcentral
UACGGAGGAUGCGAGCGUUAUCCGGAUUUAUUGGGUUUAAAGGGUGCGUAGGCGGAUCGUUAAGUCAGUGGUCAAAUUAAGGGGCUCAACCCCUUCCCGCCAUUGAAACUGGCGAUCUUGAGUGGAAGAGAAGUAUGCGGAAUGCGUGGUGUAGCGGUGAAAUGCAUAGAUAUCACGCAGAACCCCGAUUGCGAAGGCAGCAUGCCGGCUUCCUACUGACGCUGAAGCACGAAAGCGUGGGGAUCGAACAGG